This 534-nucleotide long non-coding RNA is filed under the name Mus spretus (western wild mouse). Its description in RNAcentral is "predicted gene 11464 (ENSMSPG00010029882.1)". Lineage: Eukaryota; Metazoa; Chordata; Mammalia; Rodentia; Muridae. The record is from RNAcentral.
CUCACCCAGCGGCUGGAGGUGAAGAGGACGUUCUGGGUUCGUUUUCCCGUUUGCCUGUCUCCAUCCUGGAAUUCCUGACUUCAAUGGAGUGUUCAUUGUGCGCCAAGCACCGUCCCACAAGACCAAUAGCUGAGGGGGCGUUGUCCUUACUUUUCAGAGGAGCAAACUGAGGCCCGAAGAUUUCCCACCUGCACUACUUUACUGUUCUGCAAGUGUCCACUCUUUACCCUUGGAGUUAUUCCCACAGCAGCCAAGUCCCAAACCUGGUGUGGUGGUGCACACCCUUAAUCCCUGUACUCAGGAGGCAGAGGCAAGUGGAUCUCUGAGUUCCAGGCCAUCCAGGACUACAUAGAGAAAUCUGAUCUUAAAACUAAUAAUAGGGGCUGGAGAGAUGGCUCAGCGGUAAGAGCACUGACUGUUCUAGAGGUUCUGAGUUCAAAUCCCAGCGACCACAUGGUGGCUCACAACCAUCUGUAAUGAAAUCUGAUGCCCUCUUCUGGGGUGUCUGAAGACAACUACAGUGUACUAAAAUAA